GUUGAAAAUGGAUAUCGAAUUGGAAGAUACUUUAAACAAACAGUGGAAGAAUGAUAAGACCACUUUUGGAUUUCGCAUGAUGCAAAAGAUGGGCUGGAAAGGAGACACAGGUCUAGGUAA
RNAcentral lists this non-coding RNA (120 nucleotides) under Spumella elongata. Lineage: Eukaryota; Chrysophyceae; Chromulinales; Chromulinaceae. The record is from RNAcentral.